Molecule: ribosomal RNA, 253 nt
Filed under: uncultured bacterium
Lineage: Bacteria
Description: partial 16S ribosomal RNA
Rfam family: Bacterial small subunit ribosomal RNA
Source: RNAcentral
UACGAAGGGGGCGAGCGUUGUUCGGAUUUACUGGGCGUAAAGGGCGCGCAGGCGGCUCAUUUUGUCAGGCGUGAAAGCCCCGGGCUUAACCUGGGAACUGCGUUUGAUACGGAUGGGCUAGAGUUCGGGAGAGGAGAGUGGAAUUCCCAGUGUAGAGGUGAAAUUCGUAGAUAUUGGGAAGAACACCGGUGGCGAAGGCGGCUCUCUGGACCGAGACUGACGCUGAGGCGCGAAGGCCAGGGGAGCAAACGGG